UACCAGCUGGCUGCAACUGUUUAUUAAAAACACAGCACUGUGCAAACACGAAAGUGGACGUAUACGGUGUGACGCCUGCCCGGUGCCGGAAGGUUAAUUGAUGGGGUCAGCGCAAGCGAAGCUCCUGAUCGAAGCCCCGGUAAACGGCGGCCGUAACUAUAACGGUCCUAAGGUAGCGAAAUUCCUUGUCGGGUAAGUUCCGACCUGCACGAAUGGCGUAAUGAUGGCCAGGCUGUCUCCACCCGAGACUCAGUGAAAUUGAACUCGCUGUGAAGAUGCAGUGUACCCGCGGCAAGACGGAAAGACCCCGUGAACCUUUACUAUAGCUUGACACUGAACAUUGAGCCUUGAUGUGUAGGAUAGGUGGGAGGCUUUGAAGCGUGGACGCCAGUCUGCGUGGAGCCGACCUUGAAAUACCACCCUUUAAUGUUUGAUGUUCUAACGUGGACCCGUAAUCCGGGUUGCGGACAGUGUCUGGUGGGUAGUUUGACUGGGGCGGUCUCCUCCUAAAGAGUAACGGAGGAGCACGAAGGUUGGCUAAUCCUGGUCGGACAUCAGGAGGUUAGUGCAAUGGCAUAAGCCAGCUUGACUGCGAGCGUGACGGCGCGAGCAGGUGCGAAAGCAGGUCAUAGUGAUCCGGUGGUUCUGAAUGGAAGGGCCAUCGCUCAACGGAUAAAAGGUACUCCGGGGAUAACAGGCUGAUACCGCCCAAGAGUUCAUAUCGACGGCGGUGUUUGGCACCUCGAUGUCGGCUCAUCACAUCCUGGGGCUGAAGUAGGUCCCAAGGGUAUGGCUGUUCGCCAUUUAAAGUGGUACGCGAGCUGGGUUUAGAACGUCGUGAGACAGUUCGGUCCCUAUCUGCCGUGGGCGCUGGAAGACUGAGGGGGGCUGCUCCUAGUACGAGAGGACCGGAGUGGACGCAUCACUGGUGUUCGGGUUGUCAUGCCAAUGGCACUGCCCGGUAGCUAAAUGCGGAAAAGAUAAGUGCUGAAAGCAUCUAAGCACGAAACUUGCCCCGAGAUGAGUCUUCCCUGAGACCUUGAGUCUCCUGAAGGAACGUUAAAGACGAUGACGUUGAUAGGCCGGGUGUGUAAGCGCAGCGAUGCGUUGAGCUAACCGGUACUAAUGAACCGUGAGGCUUAACCUUACAACGCCGAAGCUGUU
This 1164-nucleotide ribosomal RNA is filed under the name Salmonella enterica. RNAcentral describes it as "partial 23S ribosomal RNA". It matches the Rfam family "Bacterial large subunit ribosomal RNA", at positions 1783 to 2925 of the family's 2925-position model. Lineage: Bacteria; Pseudomonadati; Pseudomonadota; Gammaproteobacteria; Enterobacterales; Enterobacteriaceae. The record is from RNAcentral. RNAcentral also lists the same sequence under 1 other name.